This 274-nucleotide long non-coding RNA is filed under the name Homo sapiens (human). RNAcentral's name for it is "non-protein coding lnc-P3H2-5:1". Lineage: Eukaryota; Metazoa; Chordata; Mammalia; Primates; Hominidae. The record is from RNAcentral.
CAUUUUGGCACAACCCAGGAAACCCCUUAGAGAGAAGACAAUGCAUUGUUUGUAAAUCAAGCGGCAUGUUUGCUCCUAACAGGCUAUAAAAGUCGUUUGUAUAACUGCUGUUAAAAUGGUCUAGAAGUGUUGAUAGCCUCAACAUUAAGACUGAGGUCUUGUUUGUUUGCUUUAAGGAAACACACUGGCAGGCCCCUAAAUAAUGAAGACUAUGUUUAAAUUAUUGAGCAAUUAUUUCCAGAGCCUAAUGCAUUUCUAACAAUGUCAACACCCU